Molecule: ribosomal RNA, 292 nt
Filed under: uncultured bacterium
Lineage: Bacteria
Description: partial 16S ribosomal RNA
Rfam family: Bacterial small subunit ribosomal RNA
Source: RNAcentral
GUGCCAGCCGCCGCGGUAAUACGAAGGUGGCAAGCGUUGUUCGGAUUUACUGGGCGUAAAGGGAGCGUAGGUGGUGGGGUAAGCCCCGCGGGAAAGCUCCAGGCUUAACCUGGAAAGGUCGCGGGGGACUGCUGCGCUAGAGGACGGGAGAGGAGCGCGGAAUUCCCGGUGUAGCGGUGAAAUGCGUAGAGAUCGGGAGGAAGGCCGGUGGCGAAGGCGGCGCUCUGGAACGGCCCUGACACUGAGGCUCGAAAGCGUGGGGAGCAAACAGGAUUAGAAACCCCGGUAGUCC